GUUUGGUGGCGAUAGCGAAGAGGUCACACCCGUUCC
Molecule: ribosomal RNA, 36 nt
Filed under: Bacillus licheniformis DSM 13 = ATCC 14580
Lineage: Bacteria; Bacillati; Bacillota; Bacilli; Caryophanales; Bacillaceae
Source: RNAcentral